Non-coding RNA from Acanthosepion pharaonis, 96 nucleotides. NCBI's taxonomy places the organism in Eukaryota, Metazoa, Mollusca, Cephalopoda, Sepiida, Sepiidae. The record is from the annotation of a GenBank genome assembly.
AAAACAUUGGUUCCCAUACGCUCACCGAAAUUAAGCAACGUUGAGCCUGGUCAGUACCUAGACUAGAGGCCGCUUGGGAAUAUCAGGUGGUGUAAG